This is a non-coding RNA of Phaseolus vulgaris (common bean), 93 nucleotides long. The record is from Rfam. Lineage: Eukaryota; Viridiplantae; Streptophyta; Magnoliopsida; Fabales; Fabaceae.
UUAAUGUUUCUUGCUCAAAUGAGUAUUCCAUCUACACUUACAAAUUACUCAAAUCUGUGUGGAUGAGACGCUCAUUUGAGCGAGCAAUGUUAA